RNAcentral lists this ribosomal RNA (340 nucleotides) under uncultured bacterium. RNAcentral's name for it is "partial 16S ribosomal RNA". It matches the Rfam family "Bacterial small subunit ribosomal RNA", at positions 338 to 675 of the family's 1533-position model. The record is from RNAcentral.
CCUACGGGUGGCAGCAGUGAGGAAUAUUGGUCAAUGGGCGUGAGCCUGAACCAGCCAAGUCGCGUGAGGGAAGACGGUCCUAUGGAUUGUAAACCUCUUUUGGCGGGGAGCAAUGCCGGGGACGCGUGCCCGGAGGGAGAGUACCCGCAGAAUAAGAGUCGGCUAAAUCCGUGCCAGCAGCCGCGGUAAUACGGAGGAUGCGAGAGUUAUCCGGAUUUAUUGGGUUUAAAGGGUUGGUAGACGGCUUUUUAAGUCAGCGGUAAAAUUUCCGGGCUCAACCCGGGUCGGCCGUUGAAACUGGGGAUCUUGAGUGGGCGAGAAGUAUGCGGAAUGCGUGGUG